CCUACGGGAGGCUGCAGUGAGGAAUAUUGGUCAAUGGGCGAGAGCCUGAACCAGCCAAGUCGCGUGAGGGAGUACUGCCCUAUGGGUUGUAAACCUCUUUUGUCGGGGAGCACAAGCCGGACGUGUCCGGCUGUGAGAGUACCCGAAGAAAAAGCAUCGGCUAACUCCGUGCCAGCAGCCGCGGUACUACGGAGGAUGCGAGCGUUAUCCGGAUUUAUUGGGGUUAACGGGUGCGCAGGCGGCUUUUUAAGUCAGCGGUCAAAUCGUGGGGCUCAACCCCAUCCAGCCGGUGAAACUGGGGAUCUAGAGUGUGCGAGAGGUAUGCGGAAUGCGUGGUGUAGCGGUGAAAUGCAUAGAUAUCACGCAGAACCCCGAUUGCGAAGGCAGCAUACCGGUGCACAACUGACGCUCAGGCACGAAAGCGUGGGUAUCGAACAGGAUUAGAUACCCUUGUAGUC
This 458-nucleotide ribosomal RNA is filed under the name uncultured bacterium. RNAcentral's name for it is "partial 16S ribosomal RNA". It matches the Rfam family "Bacterial small subunit ribosomal RNA", at positions 338 to 795 of the family's 1533-position model. The record is from RNAcentral.